AUGCUCUACACACUGUACUGCUUUACUCACAGUACUGUACUGUACUCAGUAUUGUACUGUGCUCUACUUACUGUACUGCUUUACUCACAGUACUGUAUUGUACUGUACUCAGUAUUGUACUGCUUUACUCACAGUACUGUACUGUACUGUACUCAGUAUUGUACUGUGCUCUACUUACUGUACUGCUUUACGCACAGUACUGUAUUGUACUGUACUCAGUAUUGUACUGUGCUCUACACACUGUACUGCUUUACUCACAUUACUGUAUUGUACUGUACUCAGUAUUGUACUGUGAUCUACACACUGUACUGCUUUGCACACAGUACUGUACUGUACUCAGUAUUGUACUGUGCUCUACACACUGUACUGCUUUACUCACAGUACUGUAUUGUACUGUACUCAGUAUUGUACUGUGCUCUACUUACUGUACUGCUUUACGCACAGUACUGUAUUGUACUGUACUCAGUAUUGUACUGUGCUCUACACACUGUACUGCUUUACUCACAGUACUGUAUUGUACAGUGCUCUCCACACUGUACUGCUUUACUCACAGUACUGUAUUGUACUGUACUCAGUAUUGUACUGUGCUUUACUCACAGUAGUAUUGUACUGUACUCAGUAUUGUACUGUGCUCUACACACUGUACUGCUUUACUCACAUUACUGUAUUGUACUGUACUCAAUAUUGUACUGUGAUCUACACACUGUACUGCUUUGCACACAGUACUGUACUGUACUCAGUAUUGUACUGUGCUCUACACACUGUACUGCUUUACUCACAGUACUGUAUUGUACUGUACUCAGUAUUGUACUGUGCUCUACACACUGUACUGCUUUACUCACAGUACUGUAUUGUACUGUACUCAGUAUUGUACUGUGCUCUACACACUGUACUGCCUUACUCACAGUACUGUAUUGUACUGUACUCAGUAUUGUACUGUGCUCUACACACUGUACUGUGCUAUCCAUUUGUUUCAAUCCAGUACGUCUGUGGACGUUAACAUCAAGGCCAGGGUGGACUGACCAAAUAUCAACUACUUUUCAAUGUCCAUGGACAUCCAGUGUUGGUCGGUGCUCAGUGGUUGAGGAUGCUUGUUACAGUAAAUAG
Molecule: long non-coding RNA, 1107 nt
Filed under: Oncorhynchus mykiss (rainbow trout)
Lineage: Eukaryota; Metazoa; Chordata; Actinopteri; Salmoniformes; Salmonidae
Description: lncRNA (ENSOMYG00000073470.1)
Source: RNAcentral